Long non-coding RNA from Pseudopipra pipra, 674 nucleotides. RefSeq lists it as uncharacterized. NCBI's taxonomy places the organism in Eukaryota, Metazoa, Chordata, Aves, Passeriformes, Pipridae. The transcript is spliced from 3 exons. The record is from RefSeq and is a predicted model, not a curated record.
UUGUUUUGUUGGGUUUUUAUUAAAUGAAAUUGGAUAGAGCUUUGGAUCUUAAUUCUUCUGCUGAAUUUGUUUGCAGUUAAUUAACCAGAUGAAAGCAAUCACUGGGCAGGGAGGCUUGACUACUGUUAUUUAUGAAACUCAAAAACUCUAUUGAAAGGAAAGAUAUCAUUGUCACACUUCCUCUGCCCUUCUGAUAUGGCUCUAUUUACUUCCAAACUUGAAACAGCUUACACUUGAAUAUCUGUGCUGGAUUCCUCUGAGUUGCUCUUGCUUUACGCUGUGUUCUCCUCUUCAGCCGCUGGAGGUUUCAGUGGGAGCACUAAAUUGGAGAAUACCAUUCCUAAACCAUGACAGAUGGCCAUUCCAUCAUCUGAGGUGGACAACAGUGUGAAAUGUGGCCAAAAAAAGUCAAGAUACAAGAGACUGCAGCAGAAAUUUUGUCAUCCUUAAACUGUCACACUAGUUAGUCAUUAUGUGUUGAGCAGAAAUAAGCAAAUGCAAGAUGGAAAUUGUUCUACACUGUUCAGUGUAGACUAGCAUCCUUCUUUGUGUUAGUGGACCUUUAAGAUUUGUUAUCACAGUUAUAAGUCUAACAGACAGCAGUCCCGUAGCAUCACUUCUGAACAAUAAAAUACCAUUUUGAUAAAUUAUUGUCUACACUGAAGUGCCCCUUC